GUGGGGAAUAUUGCGCAAUGGGCGAAAGCCUGACGCAGCAACGCCGCGUGAGGGAUGACGGCCUUCGGGUUGUAAACCUCUUUCAGCAGGGACGAAGCGAAAGUGACUGUACCUGCAGAAGAAGCGCCGGCUAACUACGUGCCAGCAGCCGCGGUAAUACGUAGGGCGCAAGCGUUGUCCGGAUUUAUUGGGCGUAAAGAGUUCGUAGGCGGUCUGUCGCGUCGGAAGUGAAAACCCGGAGCUCAACUCCGGGCCUGCUUUCGAUACGGGCAGACUUGAGUGUUGCAGGGGAGACUGGAAUUCCUGGUGUAGCGGUGGAAUGCGCAGAUAUCAGGAGGAACACCGGUGGCGAAGGCGGGUCUCUGGGCAACAACUGACGCUGAGGAACGAAAGCGUGGGGAGCGAACAGGAUUAGAUACCCUAGUAGUCC
RNAcentral lists this ribosomal RNA (430 nucleotides) under uncultured bacterium. RNAcentral describes it as "bacterial SSU rRNA". It matches the Rfam family "Bacterial small subunit ribosomal RNA", at positions 354 to 796 of the family's 1533-position model. The record is from RNAcentral.